CCUACGGGGGGCUGCAGUGAGGAAUAUUGGUCAAUGGACGAGAGUCUGAACCAGCCAAGUAGCGUGAAGGAUGACUGCCCUAUGGGUUGUAAACUUCUUUUAUAAAGGAAUAAAACGAGGCACGUGUGCCUUUUUGCAUGUACUUUAUGAAUAAGGAUCGGCUAACUCCGUGCCAGCAGCCGCGGUAAUACGGAGGAUCCGAGCGUUAUCCGGAUUUAUUGGGUUUAAAGGGAGCGUAGAUGGGUUGUUAAGUCAGUUGUGAAAGGUUGCGGCUCAAACGUAAAAUUGCAAUUGAUACUGGCAGUCUUGAGUACAGUUGAGGUAAGCGGAAUUCGUGGUGUAGCGGUGAAAUGCUUAGAUAUCACGAAGAACCCCGAUUGCGAAGGCAGCUUACUAAACUGUGACUGACAUUGAUGCUCGAAAGUGUGGGUAUCAAACAGGAUUAGAUACCCUUGUAGUC
This 460-nucleotide ribosomal RNA is filed under the name uncultured bacterium. RNAcentral describes it as "partial 16S ribosomal RNA". It matches the Rfam family "Bacterial small subunit ribosomal RNA", at positions 338 to 795 of the family's 1533-position model. The record is from RNAcentral.